RNAcentral lists this long non-coding RNA (2340 nucleotides) under Sus scrofa (pig). Its description in RNAcentral is "lncRNA (ENSSSCG00000040994.1, ENSSSCG00035071936.1)". Lineage: Eukaryota; Metazoa; Chordata; Mammalia; Artiodactyla; Suidae. The record is from RNAcentral.
CAUGAAGGAAUUUGAUCUUUUCUCCAAGAACAACUUUCAACAUCCCACAGGACAGAGUGUUUUCUUGGAACACAGUUUGGCAAACCCUGGUUCAGAGGAGCUGUGGUUUUCUUUGUGCCCUAGAAGAUCAGUUCAUUUACCUCAGUGUCUGCUCUUACAUCACAAAGUUUUACUUCUCUGGUACCAUCCUGGGUCUACCCAUUUCUCUCCUUUUCCCAACUGUGACCUAAUUAACCCAAAUUCCACCACUCAUUCAUUCAUUCUCUUUCCCUCUCUCUCUCUCCUCCUCCCCUUUCUCCUCCCUGCUAACUGGUCUCCACAUUUUCCCUCUUGAUCUAACUAUAAUCCUUUUUCACAAGGCCACCAGGGGUUUUUAGGAAGUUAGAUCAGGUCCAUGAUGGCUUAAGAUGCUACAGUAAAGUCCCACUGCACUUGCAAUUAAAUAAAUCCAAAGGCCUUCUAAUGACCCACCAGGCCCCAUACAAAUCUGGAUCCAUCCUACUGACCCUUUCACGCCAUUUGCACCCUCUCUCCCUAUCUUGCAACCACAAUGCCUUGGCAUCUACUGUUUCCUCUGUCUGGCACACACCGCCCUUAGAUGAUCACAUCACGUAUCCCCUUGCAUGUCUCAGCUCAAGUACUAUGUCCUUAGGGAGGCUGCCCCUGACCUCUCUGACUGGAGUGUCCCCACAUUCCUUAGUCACUCAUUCACACGUUCUCAUCUUUGUGGCCCAUAUAUGUUGACUAACUAAUUGCCUACCUCCUCUUUUAAGGAAUGAAAAUCCCUUAAGAGCAUGGUUCUAGUGGACCUGUUCAAAGCUGUAUCCCAAAAUUGAUCACAGUGUUGGGCACAAAUCAGGCACUCGAGAAAUAAUUUUUGCAUGAAUGAAUGAAUGAUCUAGGCACCAAAGAAUGUUUCUUCAAUAGACAGUGAGUGCCUUGAAAACAGAAGCUAAGUUUUAUACUCUUCCAAGUCACAACAGUGUGAUUUCAAACCUUUCGGAGACUAUUUUCUCUUCUGUAAAAUGGAGAUAACAGUAGGCACCUCACAGAUGAAGAUGAAAUGGAAACUUUAAUAUGUUUCUAGCAAAAGUACUUGGCAAAUAUAGACCAUAGAUGAUGAUAUCAUUUCCAUGUCAUUGUACAUGGAAUCCACUUCCUAGUGCAAAGCCCAACACAGAGUAGACUUGCAACAGUUGUUGUCUGAAUGAACACAUGAAUAGAGUUAUUUUUUCUAAAAAUUCCCCAACCACUCAGAUAUAUGAAGCACCAUGCACAUAUUCCCAAGGUCGGCUAUGAUCCUGCGUAGUGUGAUCUCAAUCUGAUGCCCUAAACAGAGAAGGGGAGUUUCUGAAAGGCUGUGGGAUACUCUUGAUUGAAGUGCUUAAAAACAGGGAGAGGCCAUUGCUCUGAGACACAGUCCCACCUGCAGGAGGAGGGAUGGAGAAAAUGUACAAGAAAUGGACAGAUAUGAAAUUACAGUAUUAUAGAUGAAUGCCAUAGGAGAUAUCCUCCUGGUACAGAGGGAAAGUGACCGAAACAGGUAUAGGAAGUCAGAAAAUGCUUCGUGGAAGAAGUGGUGCCCAGAGGAAGAGUGAAGAAUGAAUGAGGAGAACUCAGCAAGGAGAAAAGGGGGUGGGUAGGAUUCUGGCCAAAAAGGACUCAGGACUCAGCUGUUGAUUGGUUGGAAGGGACACGGGCCACAUUAGCAAGGAUGCAAAGGAUUCUGGUUUGGGCAAUCCUGUGGCUCCUGGUACCCAGGGGAAUGACAUGCCCUCCAAACUCCUCCAUGUGCCCGGCUAGGCUGUGACCCGCAUCCAAACUAUAUAAUUUGCCUUUUGCAAACAUCCAAUAAUUAGAAGUCCCAGCUUUUCCUCUGCAUCAUCCACUCUGCCAUCGUAAAGUGUCUGCUGUCAAAGGCUGAGGCACGAACCGCAAAAACUUCCAUCUAAUGAGAGUGUAUGAAUGUGGGUAUGUGUUUGUGUACUGCAGUCCCUAGGUGGUUCUUAUAAACGAAGAGCUCACUUCAAUGACCCUACCGUGAUAAUUAAUACACUCCCUAAGCAGACUAUGCUGCCAAAGGAAAGAUAAGCUGCUCUCAAAUAAGGGCAGAAAUGAUACCAAGAAAUUUGAACAGACCUUGGAAAGUAUAGAAGAUCCUUGAAGCACAGGGAGCAUCUGCAGAUAAGAAGGUUGUUCUAAGUUGGAAUUUUCGCUUACUGCUUUUGAGUUGACAAAGCACUAUUAUAAUUGUGAUUUUACUGAAUCUCCCAUAUAUUAUGACUGUUGAAAAUGACAAUAUUUUAAGAAUGCUGGAAGGUUCCCCCGCGCCCCCCCCCC